Molecule: long non-coding RNA, 1059 nt
Filed under: Mus spicilegus (steppe mouse)
Lineage: Eukaryota; Metazoa; Chordata; Mammalia; Rodentia; Muridae
Description: lncRNA (ENSMSIG00000011341.1)
Source: RNAcentral
GAAGGAAUAAUUUGUUGAGCAGAAGAAAACCAUGGUAGAUAAUCAAAGUAGAUAAUCAAAACGUUAAGAAAAAGAGUGCUGGCAUUAGCUGGAAACUCUGCUAAGUUACAAAAUCAGACGUGAUUUGUACAGCCUUGAAGUUUAGAGUUGCUUCUGGAAAUGCAUACCGUGUACCUGCCAACUCAGAUAAACGGAGACUUGUUAACGUCACUGCUGGUGGAAUAUCCUCAGUAUAUGAAGACAGAGAAAAGAAAGGAGGCCAGUGACAGCCAGUUGGGCUGCUCUAUAGUCAUCAUUCAAGAUUUGCUCCUUUGUGGCACAUACCUCAUGCUUGACUCUGACAUAGCAUUUGGAAAGAAAGUGUUCUGAAGCCACUAUACACUGAAGAGCUACAGAUGAUGACAGAGAAGAUCAGCACAGAGCAAACAUGGAGUGGGAAGAACAUCAUGGAUGCCCACACUAAUCCUAGCAAUGACCAUUAGCCCAAAGGGAAGGCUUAGAGAUGAAUGACUUGAAAACACAGCCAAGCCACCAAAGACUUUCCAUUCAUAAUGUUGGAAACAUCUGUGCUUUGAUGCUAAGCUAAUAUUAAUAGACUUCUACAUGGAAAAACUUGGCAUAUGCUGUGAAUAUACAAAAAAGUUUGAUCCAAAGGAAAUUUACAUGUAAAAAUAAUUUACAAGGUAGACAGAAAUAACAAAAACCAAAUGCAACGUAUGAAUUAAUGAAAGUGAUUUAAUGAACACAGAUAAAGAGAGUAUCGGGUCUGAAGGAGAGUCUCGGGAAUUGUGGUUUGAUAUCAGACUUGAGGGUGAGAUCAGUGAACUGGCGUAUCACACUGAGUAAGGAGAAGCAAAGACCCAUUAGGAGACAGAGCAAGGUAGUGUGCAGUUGUCUGGUAUUCAGGAGUGUGACAGAGGAGGGGGACAAGGGAAGAGCAGAGCAGUGUCUGUACCUCAGCUUUGCUUCAGGCGACAUAACUUGGGGGCUCUAUCAGCAAGAGCGCUAUGAUAAACUGAAUGCUAAUACCCUCUCUCAAACCAGCUUGAGUUAUUGGCC